AGCAGCCGCCACGGUAAUACGGAGGGUGCAAGCGUUAUCCGGAUUCACUGGGUUUAAAGGGUGCGUAGGCGGAUCUGUAAGUCAGUGGUGAAAUCUCCAGGCUUAACCUGGAAACUGCCGUUGAUACUAUAGGUCUUGAAUUUUGUGGAGGUUAGCGGAAUAUGUCAUGUAGCGGUGAAAUGCAUAGAUAUGACAUAGAACACCAAUUGCGAAGGCAGCUGGCUACACAACUAUUGACGCUGAGGCACGAAAGCGUGGGGAUCAAACAGGAUUAGAUACCCGCGUAGUCCCUGUCUCUUAUAC
Molecule: ribosomal RNA, 303 nt
Filed under: uncultured bacterium
Lineage: Bacteria
Description: partial 16S ribosomal RNA
Rfam family: Bacterial small subunit ribosomal RNA
Source: RNAcentral